RNA transcript from Nycticebus coucang (slow loris), 2032 nucleotides. It is a transcript of the gene named 26S proteasome non-ATPase regulatory subunit 2-like, with no coding region annotated. The record is from RefSeq and is a predicted model, not a curated record. Lineage: Eukaryota; Metazoa; Chordata; Mammalia; Primates; Lorisidae. The transcript has a single exon.
AUGGAGCUGGUAGAAGACAUCUUCACCACCUGCAAGGAUGUGGUAGUACAGAAGCAGAUGGCAUUCAUGCUAGGGCGGCAUGGGGUGCUCCUGGAGCUGAGUGAAGAUGAGGAAUAUGAGGACCUGACAGAGAUCAUGUCUAAUGUGCAGCUCAACAGCAACUUCUUGGCCUUAGCUCGGGAGCUGGACAUCAUGGAGCGCAAGGUGGCUGAUGACAUCUACAAAACACACCUAGAGAACAACAGGUUUGGGGGCAGUGGCUCUCAGGUAGACUCUGCCCAUAUGAACCUGGCCUCCUCUUUUGUGAAUGCAGCUUUCGGCCAGGACAAACUGCUGACAGAUGAUGGCAACAAAUGGCUUUACAAGAAAAGGACCAUGGAAUGUUGAGUGCAGCUGCAUCCCUUGGCAUGAUUUUGCUGUGGGAUGUGGAUGGUGGCCUCACCCGGAUUGACAAGUACCUAUACUCCUUGUACUCCUCCAAGGACUACAUCAAGUCCGGAGCUCUCCUUGCCUGUGGCAUUGUGAACUCGGAGUCCGGAAUGAGUGUGAUGCUGCUCUGGCACUGCUCUCAGACUAUGUUCUUCACAACAGCAGCACAAUAAGACUUGGUUCCAUCUUUGGGCUAGGUUUGGCCUAUGCUGGCUCAAAUCGUGAAGAUGUUCUAACAUUGCUGCUGCCUGUGAUGGGAGAUUCCAAGUCCAGCAUGGAGGUGGCAGGUGUGACAGCUCUAGCCUGUGGAAUGAUCAGUGGGAUCCUGUGCUGGAGAUGUCACUUCUGCCAUCCUUCAGACCAUCAUGGAGAAGUCAGAGACUGAGCUCAGGACACAUUGGCUUCCUCUUGGACUGGGACUCAACCACCUGGGGAAGGGUGAGGCCCUUGAGGCAAUCCUGGCUGCAAUGGAGGUUGUGUCGGAACCAUUCUGCAGUUUUGCCAACACGCUGGUGGAUGUGUGUGCCUAUGCAGGCUCCAGGAAUGUACUGCAAGGGCAGCAGUUACUCCCCAUUUGUAGUGAACAUUUUGACUCCAAGGAAAAGGAAGAAGACAAAGAUAAAAAGGAAAAGAAGGACAAGGACAAAAAGGAAGCCCCUGCUGACAUGGGAGCACGUCAGGAAGUGGCUGCUCUGGGGGUGGCCCUUAAUGCUAUGGGAGAGGGGAUUGGUGCAGAGAUGGCACUAUGAACCUUUGGCCAUUUGCUGAGAUGUGGGGAGCCUACACUCUGGAGGGCUGUGCCUUUAGCACUGGCACUAAUCUCUGUUUCAAAUCCACGACUUAACAUCCCGGAUACCCUAAGUAAAUUCUCUCAUGAUGCUGAUCCAGAAGUUUCCUAUAACUCUAUCUUUGCUAUGGGCAUAGUGGGCAGUGGUACCAAUAAUGCCUGUUUGGCUGCAAUGCUGCACCAGUUAGCUCCAUAUCAUGCUAAGGACUCCAACAAUCUGUUCAUGGUGUGCCUGGUACAGGGUCUCACACAUUUGGGGAAGGGCACACUUACCCUCUGUUCCUACCACAGUGACCGGCAGCUUAUGAGUCAGGUGGCUAUGGCUGGGCUGCUAACUGUGCUUGUCUCCUUCCUGGAUGUUCGAAAUAUCAUUCUAGGCAAAUCACACUGUGUGUUGUAUGGGCUGGUUGCUGCCAUGAGCCCGGAAUGUUGGUUACAGUUGAUGAAGAGCUGUGGCCAUUGCCAGUGUCUGUCCGUGUGGGCCAGGCAGUGGAUGUGGUGGGCCAGGCAGGCAAGCCGAAGACUAUCACAGGGUUCCAGACAAAUACAACCCCAGUGUUAUUGGCCAAUGGAGAAUGGGCAGAAUUGGCCACUGAGGAGUUUCUUCCUGUUACCCCCAUUCUGGAAGGUUUUGUCAUCCUUCAGAAGAACCCCAACUAUGAUCUCUAAGUGGCCUCCGGGGCCCUGAGCUAUAGCUGAUGUAUCAGUGGGCCAUGCUUCCUGCUGCCAGGGCUGGAUACUGUCUCAGACCUUUGAGGGAAUUGUUACCUCCUGUUCUUUUGUUACUGAGUGAGAUAACCUUGUUGAAUAAAGACC